Molecule: transfer RNA, 68 nt
Filed under: Proscopia sp. HS-2014
Lineage: Eukaryota; Metazoa; Arthropoda; Insecta; Orthoptera; Proscopiidae
Description: tRNA-Phe
Source: RNAcentral
AUCAAGAUAGCUUAUAUUUAGGAGUAUGGCACUGAAGAUGCUAUGGAAGUAUUUUUUACUUUUUGAUA